AUUGAACGCUGGCGGCAUGCCUUACACAUGCAAGUCGAACGGCAGCACGGGUGCUUGCACCUGGUGGCGAGUGGCGAACGGGUGAGUAAUACAUCGGAACAUGUCCUGUAGUGGGGGAUAGCCCGGCGAAAGCCGGAUUAAUACCGCAUACGAUCUACGGAUGAAAGCGGGGGACCUUCGGGCCUCGCGCUAUAGGGUUGGCCGAUGGCUGAUUAGCUAGUUGGUGGGGUAAAGGCCUACCAAGGCGACGAUCAGUAGCUGGUCUGAGAGGACGACCAGCCACACUGGGACUGAGACACGGCCCAGACUCCUACGGGAGGCAGCAGUGGGGAAUUUUGGACAAUGGGCGAAAGCCUGAUCCAGCAAUGCCGCGUGUGUGAAGAAGGCCUUCGGGUUGUAAAGCACUUUUGUCCGGAAAGAAAUCCUUGGUUCUAAUAUAGCCGGGGGAUGACGGUACCGGAAGAAUAAGCACCGGCUAACUACGUGCCAGCAGCCGCGGUAAUACGUAGGGUGCGAGCGUUAAUCGGAAUUACUGGGCGUAAAGCGUGCGCAGGCGGUUUGCUAAGACCGAUGUGAAAUCCCCGGGCUCAACCUGGGAACUGCAUUGGUGACUGGCAGGCUAGAGUAUGGCAGAGGGGGGUAGAAUUCCACGUGUAGCAGUGAAAUGCGUAGAGAUGUGGAGGAAUACCGAUGGCGA
RNAcentral lists this ribosomal RNA (697 nucleotides) under uncultured beta proteobacterium. Its description in RNAcentral is "bacterial SSU rRNA". It matches the Rfam family "Bacterial small subunit ribosomal RNA", at positions 28 to 718 of the family's 1533-position model. Lineage: Bacteria; Pseudomonadati; Pseudomonadota; Betaproteobacteria. The record is from RNAcentral.